This 633-nucleotide small RNA is filed under the name Rattus norvegicus (Norway rat). Its description in RNAcentral is "uncharacterized LOC102552043". The record is from RNAcentral. Lineage: Eukaryota; Metazoa; Chordata; Mammalia; Rodentia; Muridae.
CUGCAUGGCCUGAGGAACCCGUACCCAAUUCUCUUUUUGGUGCGAGUUGGAGAAAUGUCUCCUCAGAGUCACCUGAGCAUUUGUUAGUGUCCAAAAUCAAAUAAAGGCAACUAUAGGACAGUCACCCAGAGAUCCGGGCCCCCUGCAGGAGGUAGGACAGUCUGUCUCCUAGGUUACCAUCUGCUCAUGCUUGUACUUGUGGGGCUGCCUCUGCCAUGGCAACAGAGGAAGAAGGGGCCUGAAAAGAAUGAGGGGAGAGAAAGAGGCAGUACCCCACCUUUCACCUUGGUAUGGCAAGGAUGCGAGUGUUCCCCAACGCUAACAGACACUUUAGGCUACAGGGAGACGAGCUCACUUCCGGUGUGCCCCACUUAAUGAGUAAGGUACACUGGGCAUACUAUUGGAGAUGGGAAAUAAGCCAGAAGGAGAUCUUCAUCUGGAGAUUCGUGAAGUCCUCUGAAGAACUAGCAGUGGAGAACAUGGCUGCUUCAAGGGAAUGUCAAAGAUCAGGGCUCCAUACCCAAGGAUUAAACCCUUGCCAUCAUGAGCGUGUACAUACUCAGGGAGAUGUGGUAGAGACCUAGAGCUGGAAUGAGAAGAGUUCUUCCAUGAAAAUAAAGCAGAAAGCCUGUG